RNAcentral lists this ribosomal RNA (244 nucleotides) under uncultured bacterium. RNAcentral describes it as "partial 16S ribosomal RNA". It matches the Rfam family "Bacterial small subunit ribosomal RNA", at positions 89 to 334 of the family's 1533-position model. The record is from RNAcentral.
UGGCGACCGGCGCAUGGGUGAGUAACACGUAUCCAACCUGCCGAUGACUCGGGGAUAGCCUUUCGAAAGAAAGAUUAAUACCCGAUGGCAUAGUUCUUCCGCAUGGUAGAACUAUUAAAGAAUUUCGGUCAUCGAUGGGGAUGCGUUCCAUUAGGUUGUUGGCGGGGUAACGGCCCACCAAGCCUUCGAUGGAUAGGGGUUCUGAGAGGAAGGUCCCCCACAUUGGAACUGAGACACGGUCCAA